AAGUCGUAACAAGGUUUCCGUAGGUGAACCUGCGGAAGGAUCAUUAUCACGUUAUCCACGUAUCAACCAUUGUGAACUAGUAUAGACCUUUGAAUUGGAGAGAUAGUGUUGUACUAAACCGUUAUCAAACAAUAAUGAUUGGAAAUUGUUGAGGUUUAUAUUACAAUCAAACAAAUUCGUUUGUUUACUUUCUGAUUCAAAGUGUAUUUUUUCCAAUCAAUUAUUUAUUAACCAUUUAAACCCAAAAUUUUUCUAAAUUUUGAACUGAUUUAAUUUCUUACUCUUAUUUUCUAAGAGAAGAAAUAAAUGAUUACGAAACAUAAGAACAACUCUUAGCAACGGAUAUCUUGGUUCUCGUAACGAUGAAGAAUGCAGC
RNAcentral lists this unclassified non-coding RNA (376 nucleotides) under fungal sp. Its description in RNAcentral is "partial internal transcribed spacer region". The stretch from base 1 to 46 matches the Rfam family "Eukaryotic small subunit ribosomal RNA", at positions 1786 to 1831 of the family's 1831-position model. Lineage: Eukaryota; Fungi. The record is from RNAcentral.